GGGAUUAUAGUUAAACUAGGUAUAACACUUAUCUUGCACGUAAGAGAUAUGAGUUCAAUUCUCAUUGGUUCCA
RNAcentral lists this transfer RNA (73 nucleotides) under Eremothecium sinecaudum. RNAcentral's name for it is "tRNA-Ala". It matches the Rfam family "tRNA". From Rfam's summary of the family: Transfer RNA (tRNA) molecules are approximately 80 nucleotides in length. Their secondary structure includes four short double-helical elements and three loops (D, anti-codon, and T loops). Further hydrogen bonds mediate the characteristic L-shaped molecular structure. tRNAs have two regions of fundamental functional importance: the anti-codon, which is responsible for specific mRNA codon recognition, and the 3' end, to which the tRNAs corresponding amino acid is attached (by aminoacyl-tRNA synthetases). tRNAs cope with the degeneracy of the genetic code in two manners: having more than one tRNA (with a specific anti-codon) for a particular amino acid; and 'wobble' base-pairing, i.e. permitting non-standard base-pairing at the 3rd anti-codon position. Lineage: Eukaryota; Fungi; Ascomycota; Saccharomycetes; Saccharomycetales; Saccharomycetaceae. The record is from RNAcentral.